RNAcentral lists this long non-coding RNA (7149 nucleotides) under Homo sapiens (human). RNAcentral describes it as "HSALNT0354916". Lineage: Eukaryota; Metazoa; Chordata; Mammalia; Primates; Hominidae. The record is from RNAcentral.
UGAUCGUCUUCGAAACAAAUCCCUCUGCUCCACCCCCUUGAAAAAUUGAUUUGGGAGUUGGGGAGCGAAGGCUUUCUUUUUUCUCCUCUGCCUUCUUUAUUAUUAAUAUUUUGUAAAGCUCCAGCGCUACGAGGAGUGGCCCCGAGCGAGGCCAGACUGCGCGGACGGCAGGGAGCGCGGCGGCUCCGCCAGGGGACGGCGCCGGCCGGGAGUGGCCGCUUGGGAACCCCCGACUGUCGGCCGAGUCUCAUUCUGUCGCCAGGCAGGAGUGCAGCAGCAUGAUCUCGGCUCACUGCAACCUCUGCCUCCUGGGUUCAAGCGAUUCUCCUGCCUCAGCCUCCAGAGUAGCUGGGAUUACAGGCACCCGCCACCACGCCUGGAUAAUAUUUUGUAUGUAUUUUUAGUAGAGACAGGGUUUCACCAUGUUGUCCAGGCUGGUCUUGAACUCCCGGUCUCAAGCGAUCCGCCUGCCUCAGCCUCCCAAAGUGCUGGAAUUACAGAUGAGAGCCACCGUACCCGGCCUGAAAUAUUGCCUUUUCUUGCAGUUUCUGAAACAAUUUAAUUUCAAACCCUUCAGCUGCAUUUUUUUGUUAUUAUCUUUUAAUUUUGGUGAAGUAUACAUAACAUGAAAUUUACCGUCUUCACCAUUCGUAUGUGUACAGUUCAGUGACAGUAAGUACAUUCCCGUUGUUAUACAACCAUCACCACUAUUUGUCUCCAGUACUCUUUUCAUUUUGUAAAACAAACUGUAUGCAUUAAAGGAUAACUCCCCAGUGCCCUCCCCUGACCUAGUCCCUGGCAGCCACCGUUCUGCUUUUUCUGUCUCUGCAUUUGACUACUCUUAGGUGCCUCAUGGAGGUGGAAUUGUACAUAUUUGUGCAUGUGUGACUGGCUUAUUUCACCUAACAUAAUGUCUUCCAGGGUCAUCCAUGUUGUAGCAUGUAUCAGAAUUUACCUCCUUUUUAAGGCUGAAUAAUAGUGUAUUAUGUGUAUAUAGCUCACAUUUUGUUUAUCCAUUCAUCUGACAGUGGACUCUUGAGUUGCUUCCGUUGCUUCGUUAUUGUGAAUAAUGCUGCAGUGAACAUGGGUGUGCAAAUACCUCUUUGAGUCCCUGCCAUCAGUUAUCUUGUGUAUAUACCCAGAAGUGGUUUGCUAGACCUAUAGUAAUUCAAUUUUUAAGUUUUUUAAGUAAACUGCCGUACUGUUUUCCAUAGUGGUUGCACCAUUUUGUAUUCCUUUCAAUGGUGCACAGGGUUCCAAUUUCUCCACAUUCUGUUUUUUGUUUGUUUGUUUGUUUGUUUUUGAUAGUAGCCAUCCUAGUGGGUAUGAGGUGGUAUCUCAUUGUGGUUUUGAUUUGCAUUUCCCUAAUGAUUAGUGAAGUUGAACAUCUUUUUUAUGUUCUUAUUGGCCAUUUGUAUAUCUUCUUUGGAAGCAUAUCUAUCCAAGCCCUUUCCCCAUUCUUUAUUUAUUUAUUUAUUUAUUUAUUUAUUUAUUUUGAGAUGGAGCCCUGCUCAGUUGCCCAGACUGGAGGGCAGUGGCACGAUCUCGGCUCACUGCAACCUCUGCCUCCCAGGUUCAAGCCAAUUCUCCUGCCUCAGCCUCCGGAGUAGCUGGGAUUACAACUGUGCACCACCACGUCCGGCUAAUUUUUGUAUUUUCGUGGAGACGGGGUUUUACCAUGUUGGCCAGGCUGGUCUCGAACUCCUGACCUCAGGUGAUCUGCCCACCUCAGCCUCCCAAAGUGCUGGGAUUGCAGGCAUGAACCACCGUGCCUGGCCCCCUUUCUCCAUUCUUUAAUUGGGUUGUUUGUUUUUUUGUGAUUGAGUUGUAGGAGUUCUUUAUAUAUUCUGGAUAUUAACUCCUCAUCACAUAUAUGGUUUGCCAAUGUUUUCUCCCAUUUCACGGGUUGCCAUUUCACUUUGUUGACUGUAUCUUUUGAUGCACAGAAAUUUUACAUUUUGACAAAGUCCAAUUUAUUUUUUCGUUUGUUGCUUGUGCUCUACCUACUGCGUGCAUGUGUGUGUCUGUGUAACAGGGUCUUACUCUGUCUCCCAGGCUUGAGUGCAGUUGUGCAAUCUUGGCUCACUGCAGCCUUGAUCUCCUGGGCUCAGCAAUCAUCCCACCUCAGCCUCCAGAGUAGCUGGGACUACAGGCGAGUGCCACCACACUGGCUAAUUUUUGUAUUUUUAGUUGAGACAGAGUGUUGUCAUGUUGCCCAGUCUGGUCUUGAACUUCUGGGCUCAAGCAAUCUGCUGGCUUCAUCCUCCCAAAGCGCUGGGAUUACAGGUGUGAGUCACCUUGCUCAGUCUCUACCUGCAUUUUUGAAUCUGUGUCCUUUGUCAUUACCUGGCUACUUUUUGAGACGUCCAUCAUUUUCUAGCGUACCUGUCUCCAGUUCUCUAAGUUGUUUGUUACAAAUUCUUACACGGUGCUAAAAUUAUCCCAAGCCAAAAAUAACUGUUUGCUGAACAUUAGGCUACUAGGUUACUUUUAUUCUUCUGGUAAGUAUAAAUUCAUACUCUGCACACCUUUUUUAUUGUGUUACAAAAUGGGCAGUAAAAGGCUUGUUUGCAACAAUAUCCAUCCCCUGUGUGCAUGAGACCACACUCCCUGGAGAAAUUCUAAAGCUACAACAAAAUUACCUGAUCUUUCUUUUAGCACAUUUGUCAGGUUACUGCCAUUAGCAUCCAAAAUGAGCAUCUAGUGAGGCCAUUUCAGGCUAAUGCGUCUUUCCCAAAUAGCAUUCUAUUGGUCAAAAUGAAGUAAUUGGGAAUGUGUCCCAUGAUAUAGCAUACUCUCUAAGCGGUCAAAUCUAAGGAAUAAUUUUUGGGGAAAAGCCCUGCUUUAUAUUCUGGCUAGGCCUAACAACGAUAACAAUAACAGCAGUAGAAAUAACCACCAUAUGUUGGGUAUCACUCUAGCCUGGCGCUGAGCUCAGUGCUUCACACAUACUCUCACACUGAAUCCACAAAACAGCCUGAUCGGAAGAUUCUCAUUGAUAUGGUUUGGCUGUCUGUCCCCUCCCAAAUCUCAUCUCCAGUUGUAAUCCCCACGGGUCGAGUGAGGGGCCUGUAAUCCCUACGUGUCGAGGGAGGGAGGUGAUUGGAUCAUGGGGGCAGUUUCCCCCAUGCUGUUCUCAUGAUAGUGAGUGAGUUAUCAGGAGAUCUGAUGGUUUUAUACGUGUUUGGAAGUUCCUUCCUCACUCUUCUCUCUCCUGCCGCCUUGUGGUGAAGGUGCCUGCCUCCCCUUCGCCUUCCACCAUGAUUGUAAGUUUCCUGAGGCCUCCUCAGCCAUAAGGAACUGUGCGUCAAUUAAACCUCUUUAGUUUAAAAAUUAUCCAGUCUCAGGUAUUUGUUUAUAGCAGUGUGAAAACAGACUAAUACACUCAUACUGUUCCCAAUCUACAAGUGGGGAAAUUGAGGCUCAGGCAGGUAAAGGCACAUGCCCACCAGCCACACAGGUUCUGAUGGGUAGAUCUGGAAUUUGAACCCAUGUCUCUCAGAGCCCAGGCUCUUGUUUGUUUGUUUGUUUGUUUGUUUAUUUUUGAGACGGAGUCUUGCUCUGUCACCUAGGCUGGAGUGCGGUGGCGUGAUCUUGGCUCACUACAACCUCUGCCUCCCAGGUUCAAGCGAUUCUCCUGCCUUAGCCUCCUGAGUAGCUGGGAUUACAGGUGCCCAUCACCAUGCCCGGCUAAUUUUUGUAUUUUUAGUAGAGACGGGUUUUUACCAUGUUGGCCAGGCUUGUCUUGAAUGCCUGACCUCAGGUGAUCCACCUGCCUUAGCCUCCUAAAGUGCUGGGAUUACAGGCAUGAGCCACUGUGCCUGGCCUAUUUAUUUAUUUAUUUAUUUUUAUGGACGUGGAGUCUUGCUGUGUUGCCCAGGCUGGCCUUGAAUUCCUGGGCUCAAGUGAUCCUCUCGCCUAAGCCUCCCAAGUAGCAAGCUUUUAAUCAUCACAUGACUCUGCUUUUAUCCACAUGAUUUAUGCCUGCUGUGAGUGCCCUAGCACCGCACGUGCCCCAGAGAGAAACCUGCCCAGGUAGCUGGGUUUGCAGUGCUCCUACCUUGAACCUGCCAAGUCAGCUGCAGUGCUGGGGCCCAGACCCAGCUUUGUUCCCUCUGCCCCAUGGUUGGUGGUCCUUCCUGGGAGGCAGGCUGAUCCAAUGAAGGCACAUCGUAUGUGGCUCCUCCUCACCCCUUAUCAGGCAGUUUAGAACCAACUCACCAACAUACUUGGAAGGAAGGAAAGACUACUGGGAAGAAAGCUGCCACUCACUCUGGCCACAUGUUACACACAAUGGUGACAACAUAAAAACACCUGAGGCACAAGAAAUCCUGGUUGCCUCUGCUUUUGUUUUGGAAAAGGAGCUUUCCAAAAUGUUUAUUUCUGGUAAGCUUUUUUUUUUUUUAUCAUGGAAUAUUUCAAACAUAUAUAACAGUAGAAUAAUGUACCAGUUACUCAGCCUCAGAGUGACAACUCAUGCCCAAUCUUGUUUCCUCUACUUCCCACCCCAAUACCCUUAUCUCAUUGGGUUAUUUUAAAGCAAAUCCUAGACACCAUAACGUUUCAACCAUGACUAUUUUGGUAUAUAUUUCUAAAAGAUAAGGGAAUCUUCAAAAGGUUAUAAUAGCCAGAAUGCCAUUAUCACUCCUGGAAAAAUUAUCAUCAAAUUGAUCUAGUCAGCGCCUACAAUUUCCCUGAUUGUCUCCUACAUGUUUUGUACAUCUUAUUAAAAAGGCCAUGUGUGUUUUAAGUCUCUUUUAAUCUAUAGUUUCUCUCUCCCCACAUCUCUGUCUCUGUCUCUCCACCUCUCCACUCUUGCUGUUUAUUAAUAUCUGUGGAAGAAACCCAUUGUUUGUCCAGCAGCAUUUCCCUCAAUCUGGAUUUUGCUGCUUGUAUUCCUGUGGGGUCCUUUAACAUGUUCCUCUGUCUUCGGAAUUUCUUGUAAUUAGAUCUAGAGGCUUGAUCAGGUUCAGGUUUGAUUUUUGGCAGCAAUACUUCACAGGAGGUAUCGCGCUGUGUCCUUUUGUCAGGAGGCCCAUAAUGUCUUGUGAGCUCUUUUUUUGGGUGAAGUUUGUAGCUGUGGAUGUUCACUGCCUAGAUUCACUAUCUCAUUAAGGCUUGCAAAAUGAUGAUGCUUUUUUUUUGUUUAGCCAGGGUUUUGUUCUGUCACCUUGGCUGGAAUGCAGUGUGGGAUCUUGGCUCACUGCAGCCUUAAUCUCCUGGGCUCAAGUGAUCCUCUCACCUCAGCCUCCCAAGUAGCUGGGACUACAGGCAUGUGCCACCACACCCAGCUAAUUUGGUGUUCUAAUUCUAUCUUCCUUCUUCAUUUAUUAGCUGGAAUACUUGAAAAAGGGCAUCUCCUCAUUAACUCUUUAGUUACCCCAAGGCGCAGUAUGCCCUCUUUCAGUAUAUACACUAUAGACAGUGCAAGACUUGGCUCUUUAAUGGCUUUCAAAUAAUGAGUUUGUUUCCUAGCAUCCUGAGAGGUUUUUUUUUAAAAUUGAUUUUUAAAAAAGUAUCAUUAUGGGGCCGAGCUUGGUGAUUUACACCUGUAAUCUCAGCACUUUGGGAGGCUGAGGUGGGAGGAUCACUUGAGCCCAGGAGUUCAGGACCAGCCUGGGCUGGCAAGAACCUGUCUCUACAGAAAAUACAAAAAUUAGCCAUGGAGCACAUACCUGUAGUCCCAGCUACUUGGGGAGCUGAGGUAGGAGGAUUACUUGAGCCCAGAGGUCCAGGCUGCAGUGAGCCAAAAUCGCGCCACUGCACUCCAGCCUGGGCAACAGAAUGAGACCCCACCCCUCAACCUCUCUCAAAAAAACAGUAUCAUUAUGAAUAUAGGGACUGAAUGCUAUUUGAUGUGUUUCAGUCCCCUGUGAUUCUUAUUCUUAUUGCUGUUCAAAUGAUCCUAUUCAGCCAGAGAGAACCUCUUUGGAUUGGUUCCUGAUGUCUUUGACCCCAGUUGGCUUUGAUGGCUUCCUUGCUUUCUGGAACAGCAAGGUGCCCCAGACUCAUCUUGUACACUUGCUGCUCCAAACCUGGAAUCAGCCAUCUGUCUAAGGAGUCCUGGUUCCUUUGAGUGAGGAAUAUUAUUUAGAAAGCACGAUCUUGUUUUAUGCAAUGCUCAUUACUAUUGGGUUGGUCAUUGUUUCUGGGCAUUUUGAGUGAAUAGAGCUCAGAAAUACAUUUUUUAAAAGGUAAAAUGCAUCACAAAUUAUGAUUACCAAAACUUGGAAGCAGCAAGAUGUUCUUCAGUAGGUGACUGGGUAAACAAACUAUGGUACAUCCAGACAAUGGAAUAUUAUGCAGCGCUUAAAAGGAAGAGUUACCAAGCAAUGAAAAGACACAGGAGAACCUUAAAUGCAUAUUGUUGGGUGGAAGAAGCCAGUCUGUAAAGGCUACACAGAUGAUUCUAACUAUACAAAAAGGCAACACUAUCAAGACAGUAAAAGAUCCAUAGAUUCCAAGUGUUUGGGGGAGGGAGGGCUGGACAGGGGGCACACAGGAUUAGUGAAACUACUCUGUAUGAUAUUAUAAUAGUAGAUAUAUGUCAUUAUACAUUUGUUCCAACCCAUAGAAUGUAAAUCAAGAGUGAAUUUGAAUGUAAACUGUGGACUUUAGUCAAUGUCUCAUUAUUGAUGUAUCAGUUGUAACAAAUGUAUGCCAUUAUGCAAUGUCACUGGUCUGAUUUUUAAAAAAGAGCCCUCCAUUAAUGAAAGAUGUUCACAACAGGGGAAACUGGGAGGGGGUUGGGGAGAUGAAGGGAUAUACGGGAACUCUCUAUUUUCUGCUGAAUUUUUCUGUAAACCUGAAACUGCUAAAAAAAUAAAGUCUACUAAUGUGCUUAAAAAAUCAUGAGUUCAUAUUGACACUUCUAAUUUAAAUUCAGGAUCACCAUGUUUUUACUUAGCCUUGUCUGUUCUUUCUCCCAUGAGAAAUGCCCUUUCUUUUCAGUUCCCAGUGAAAGAUAAACUCAUCUGUUGAGUCUGACCCACUUCACACUCUCAGAUAAGAAUGCCAGUACUAUCAUGUCUUAGUCCAUCUGGGCAGCUGUAACAAAAUACCUUAGACUGGAUAAUUUGUAAAUAAUAAAAACUUAUUGCUCAAGUUCUGGAGGCUGGAAGUCCAAGAUCAAGGCCCAGCAGAUUUGGU